This 426-nucleotide ribosomal RNA is filed under the name uncultured prokaryote. Its description in RNAcentral is "bacterial SSU rRNA". It matches the Rfam family "Bacterial small subunit ribosomal RNA", at positions 355 to 796 of the family's 1533-position model. The record is from RNAcentral.
UGGGGAAUUUUCGGCAAUGGGCGCAAGCCUGACGGAGCAACGCCGCGUGCGGGGGGACGGCCUGUGGGUUGUAAACCGCUUUUAUCCGGGAAGAAGUUCUGACGGUACCUGAUGAAUCAGCACCGGCUAGCUCUGUGCCAGCAGCCGCGGUAAUACAGAGGGUGCAAACGUUGCUCGGAAUGACUGGGCGUAAAGCGCGCGCAGGUGGCCCGUUAAGUCGGCUGUGAAAUCCCCUGGCUCAACCAGGGAAGUGCAGUCGAUACUGGCGGGCUCGAGUCCCGGAGAGGGUGGUAGAAUUCCCAGUGUAGAGGUGAAAUUCGUAGAUAUUGGGAGGAAUACCGGUGGCGAAGGCGACCGCCUGGACGGGUACUGACACUGAGGCGCGAAAGCGUGGGGAGCAAACAGGAUUAGAUACCCGCGUAGUCC